UACAGAGGUCUCAAGCGUUGUUCGGAUUCAUUGGGCGUAAAGGGUGCGUAGGUGGCGCUGUAAGUCGGGUGUGAAAUUUCGGAGCUUAACUCCGAAACUGCAUUCGAUACUGCGGUGCUUGAGGACUGGAGAGGAGACUGGAAUUCAUGGUGUAGCAGUGAAAUGCGUAGAGAUCAUGAGGAAGACCAGUGGCGAAGGCGGGGUCUCUGGACAGUCCUGACACUGAGGCACGAAGGCCAGGGGAGCAAACGGG
Molecule: ribosomal RNA, 253 nt
Filed under: uncultured bacterium
Lineage: Bacteria
Description: partial 16S ribosomal RNA
Rfam family: Bacterial small subunit ribosomal RNA
Source: RNAcentral